RNAcentral lists this non-coding RNA (27 nucleotides) under Xenopus tropicalis (tropical clawed frog). RNAcentral also lists the same sequence under 5 other names. Lineage: Eukaryota; Metazoa; Chordata; Amphibia; Anura; Pipidae. The record is from RNAcentral.
GUGGUUAGGAUUCGGCGCUCUCACCGC